GUGCUCGCUUCAGCAGCACAUAUACUAAAAUUGAAACGAUACAGAAAAGAUUAGCAUGGCCCCUGUGUGAGGAUGACUCGAAAUUCGUGAAGCAUUCCAUAUUUUA
Myotis lucifugus (little brown bat) is the source of this 106-nucleotide small nuclear RNA. The record is from Ensembl. Lineage: Eukaryota; Metazoa; Chordata; Mammalia; Chiroptera; Vespertilionidae.